GAUGAACGCUGGCGGCGUGCCUAAUACAUGCAAGUCGAGCGAACGCACGAGAAGCUUGCUUCUCUGAUGUUGUCGGCGGACGGGUGCGUAACACGUGGAUAACCUAACUAUCAGACUGGGAUAACUUCGGGGAACCGUAGCUACGACCGGAUAAUAUUUUGAACCGCAUGGUUCAAAAGUGAAAGACGCUCUUGCUGUCACUUAAAGAUGGAUCCGCGCUGCAUUAGCUAGUUGGUAAGGUAACUGCUUACCAAGGCAACGAUGCAUAGACGACCUGAGCGCGUCGUCGGCCACACUGGCACAGAGACACGGUCCAGACUCCGACGGUAAGCAGCAGUAGAGACUCCUACGCGAUGGGCGAAAGCCUGAUGGAGCAACACCGCGGGAGGGAUGAAGGACUUCGGAUCGUAAAGCUCUGUUAUUAGGGAAGAACUAAUGUGUAAGUAACUGUGCACAUCUUGACGGUACCUAAAGAGAAAGCCACGGCUAACUACGUG
This 497-nucleotide ribosomal RNA is filed under the name uncultured bacterium. RNAcentral's name for it is "partial 16S ribosomal RNA". It matches the Rfam family "Bacterial small subunit ribosomal RNA", at positions 28 to 507 of the family's 1533-position model. The record is from RNAcentral.